This 522-nucleotide ribosomal RNA is filed under the name Sutcliffiella cohnii. RNAcentral describes it as "bacterial SSU rRNA". It matches the Rfam family "Bacterial small subunit ribosomal RNA", at positions 1 to 505 of the family's 1533-position model. The record is from RNAcentral. Lineage: Bacteria; Bacillati; Bacillota; Bacilli; Caryophanales; Bacillaceae.
GGAAGAGGGUUAACCUUGCUUCGGGAGGAAGGCUGCCGCGUGCCCAAUUACAUGCAGGCCGGCGAACUUUCUUAGGACCUGCUUUUAAGGAGUUAACGGCGGACGGGUUAGUUACACGUUGGCCACCUGCCUGGUAGGCUUGGAAUACUUCCGGAAACCCGAGCUUAUACCGGAUUAUAUAUAGGUCCCCCCGGGUCUAUAAUUAAAAAUGGGCUCUAGCUAUCACUUACAGAUGGGCCCGCGGCGCAUUAGCUAGUUGGUGAGGUAACGGCUCACCAAGGCAACGAUGCGUAGCCGACCUGAGAGGGUGAUCGGCCACACUGGGACUGAGACACGGCCCAGACUCCUACGGGAGGCAGCAGUAGGGAAUCUUCCACAAUGGACGAAAGUCUGAUGGAGCAACGCCGCGUGAGCGAUGAAGGCCUUCGGGUCGUAAAGCUCUGUUGUUAGGGAAGAACAACAUUCGAGAGUAACUGCUCGCACCUCUGACGGUUCCAAAACUGAAACCUAUGCACACUCUAG